GUAAAUAUAGUUUAAUAAAAACAUUAGAUUGUGAAUCUAAUAAUGGAAGUGCAAGUCUUCUUAUUUACC
Molecule: non-coding RNA, 69 nt
Organism: Felis catus (domestic cat)
Lineage: Eukaryota; Metazoa; Chordata; Mammalia; Carnivora; Felidae
Source: the annotation of a RefSeq genome assembly